UCAAAGAUUAAGCCAUGCAUGUUCCAGAAUAAGCUCUUCAUAACUAGUCUGUGAAUGGCUCAUUAAACCAGUUAUUGUGUCAUUGGCUGUUCCCAAGUACAUGGAUACCUUUGGUAAUGCUACAGCUAAUACAUGCUACGAAGCCUGACUGCCCUGGAAGGAUAUUCUUAUUAGUUCUGAAAAUCAAGCGUAGCUUCGCUAUGACUGUAAAUGAUGUGUGGWAAGUUCAUGAAUCAUACAGCUGUUGCUGGUGAUGCAUCUUUCCAGUUCCUGACCUAUCAGCUUUUGAUUGGAGGGUAUUGUCUUCCAAUGGCAGCGACGGGUAACGGAGAAUUAGGGUUUGACUCCGGAGAGGGAGCCUGAGGAAUAGCUACCACAUCUAAGGAAGGCAGCAGGCGCGCAAAUUACCCAAUCUUAGCCCAAGGAGGUAGUGACAAGAAAUAGCAAUAUAGGGCAUCCAUGUCUUGUAAUUGGAAUGGACUAAAUGAAAAUGUGUUUGUGAGUACCCAUUGGAGGGCAAGUCUGGUGCCAGCAGCCGCGGUAAUUCCAGCUCCAAUAGCGUAUAUUAAAGUUGUUGUGGUUAAAAAGCUCGUAGUUGGAUUUUUGCUGUGAAUAACUGGUCCAUCCUGUGGGUGAGCAUUUGGGUAURCAAAGCAUAUGCUCAGCAGCCCCUGCUGCACUUCAUUGUGCGGUGUGUCUGCUGGGACCUUUACUUUGAAAAAAUCAAAGUGUUUGCAGCAGGCAGUGUGUUUUGAAUACAUUAGCAUGGAAUAAUGUGAGUGGACUUUAAUUCUCUUUAUUGGUUUCAGAAAGAAAGUAAUUGUGGGCAGGGGUAGUUUGGGGCAUAUGUACUCAACUGUCAGAGGUGAAAUUCUUGGAUUUGUUGAAGACAAACAGAUGCAAAAGCAUUUGCCAAGGAUGUUUUUUUGAUCAAGAACGAAAGUUAGGGGAUCGAAGACGAUCAGAUACCGUCGUAGUCUUAACCAUAAACUAUGCCAGCCAGGAGUUGGAGGCUGUUACUUGAAUGAUUCCUUCAGCACCAUAUGAGAAAUCAAAGCCUUUGGGUUCCGGGGGGAGUAUGGUCGCAAGGCUGAAACUUAAAGGAAUUGACGGAAGGGCACCACCAGRAGUGGAGCCUGCGGCWUAAUUUGACUCAACACGGGGAAACUCACCAGGUCCAGACAUAGCAAGGAUUGACAGAUUGAUAGCUCUUUCUUGAUUUGAUGGGUGGUGGUGCAUGGCCGUUCUUAGUUGGUGGAGUGAUUUGUCUGGUUAAUUCCGUUAACGAACGAGAUCUUGACUUGCUAAAUAGUUACUCCUACAACCCUGUAGGUGGAGAACUUCUUAGAUGGACAUUGUGUGUUUAACAUAAGGAAGUUUGAGGCAAUAACAGGUCUGUGAUGCCCUUAGAUGUUCUGGGCUGCACGCGUGCUACACUGAUGUGCUCAGCAAGCAUCAGCCUUGCCUGGMAAGGCAGUGUAAUCUUUGAACGUGCAUCGUGAUGGGGAUCGUCUAUUGCAAUUAUUAGUCUUGAACGAGGAAUCCCUAGUAAACGUGAUUCAUCAUCUUGUGUUGAUUACGUCCCUGCCCUUUGUACACACCGCCCGUCGCUCCUACCGAUUGAAUGAUCCGGUGAAUAAGUUGGACUGCCUCAUAUCAAGGCUUGCUAUGGCAUGUGGUGGUAAAUCUUAUAAGCCUUAUUAUUUAGAGGAAGGAGAAGUCGUAACAAGG
This 1731-nucleotide ribosomal RNA is filed under the name Ataxiodinium choanum. RNAcentral's name for it is "SSU rRNA". It matches the Rfam family "Eukaryotic small subunit ribosomal RNA". The record is from RNAcentral. Lineage: Eukaryota; Dinophyceae.